Molecule: transfer RNA, 77 nt
Filed under: Anaerolineaceae bacterium
Lineage: Bacteria; Bacillati; Chloroflexota; Anaerolineae; Anaerolineales; Anaerolineaceae
Also listed under: 6 other names
Description: tRNA-Val
Rfam family: tRNA
About the family: Transfer RNA (tRNA) molecules are approximately 80 nucleotides in length. Their secondary structure includes four short double-helical elements and three loops (D, anti-codon, and T loops).
Source: RNAcentral
GGGCGCGUAGCUCAGCUGGUUAGAGCGCAUCAUUCACAUUGAUGAGGUCAGGGGUUCGAGUCCCUUCGCGCCCACCA